This is a non-coding RNA of Rattus norvegicus (Norway rat), 2778 nucleotides long. Lineage: Eukaryota; Metazoa; Chordata; Mammalia; Rodentia; Muridae. The record is from RefSeq and is a predicted model, not a curated record.
CAACUGCUAAUUGGCAAGAAGGAAACGCAGAGUCUAGGGCAGAAGGGAGGGCUUGCUUCUCACAGGACACCUUCAGUGUCCUUAACAGUUCUAAGCAAUAUUGGCUGGCGAAGAUGUCAUAGGAUAAAAUUGUAGGGAGGCCCUCCUUUGCUUUCAUGAAAACUGUGGAUGAAGGCCACCGGAAGGCCGCAGAGAAAGCUGUUAGCUGAGGGCUGAGUCCAUCAGCCCAUGGGAAAGGUGUUGGCUGAACAAGCACACAAGGACCUGAGUUCAAAUAUCCAGAACCCGCAUGGAACAACUAUGGCCACUCUCCUGCCUGUAAUCCUGACACCAUGGGAAGGGGCGCAGGAGGCUCCCUGGAGCUUCCUGGCCACCAACCCAACUCUAGGCUCUGAAAGGGAACAGAGUGGAGGGAGAGAGGGCAGGACAGGCAGGUCCUCCUCUGGUCUCAGUGCAGGUGUGCACAGGCAAACCUGCACAAAUGCUCAAAUACAACCCACGCAUACAAUCACACACACAUACAUUCAUAGGUACUCACAUACCGACACUCACACAUACAUAAACACAUGUACACACAUACACACUCAUGCAUAUACACAUAAUAGACAAAUGCAUACAAACAUAUACACUCAUAUACAGAGAUGUAUAGAGAUACACACUCACAUGAUUCAAACACACACACAUGUGCACACACAUGUGUGCACACACAUUACUAAGUCACAUUUCCAUGAAAGCUGUAGGGUGUGUUUCCGGGUUGCCCAGUUUAUCCUCUGGGACUUGUCUGUUUCUCUUAUGCUUCAGAUAAGAACGAGACACAGGAAGGAAGUCUGCAGAACAGGAAAGGUCCCUUGGAGAGCAUGGCUGGGUCCAUCCUCAGAGGGUGUGCUCCAUUACCCCCUAAAACUCACCCUGACAGAUUUGGGAUAAAAAGCCGCUGGCUGUGUGAGACCCAAGUCUGAACCUGAUGUUACUUCGCCACCCGGCAGCCUCAGCUCCCUGGUGCCCUCAUCGGGGGCCUCAGCACUCUUCAACGGAAGCACAGCUGCUCUGGAGACUCGUGGAGAUGUGAGCAAGAGAGGCUGUGUUUUCAAAGCACUUAUUUGGCAGCUGGGGAGAUGGCUCAGCAGUUUAAAGUGCUCUUCCAGGGGACCAUUCCCAGAACCCAGGCAUUUCUGGAUGCCGGAGACGUGGCGAACGGCCUGACCUGUUCCCAGGAGAGGAACUUGUCCAUCAGCGAGUCUCCCGCACUAAGAACAGCCCUGAUAAGAAGCCGAGCCCUAAGGCCCUGGGUUCGGUCCCCAGCUCCGAAAAAAAGAACCAAAAAAAAAAGAAGCCGAGCCCAGUGUGUGUUCAUUCUUUGAUGAACUAAUGAGAAAAUGAUCGGAAAUGGUGCUACGGAACUGAUACGGUUAUGAUUGCACAGAUGCUAACGGCACCAUCGAUAUUUGAACCAGGGGCCAGCCCUUCAAUUGGCACCUGACAUGUGUGACACUGGACAGCCCCACCCCAAUGCAGCAGAACUCCAUCCUCCACAAACAGCCAGACAUUCACCCCUCCUUAUCCGAGCCUGCAACCUUGCUGACAUGUCCAGAACUCACCGGACAUCUGGGAAACUGAAGUUCAGAGAGGGUGGGGAUCUUCCUCAGGCUGAAAGGGAGCUAGCACACAACGCUGGGUAGGAUUCAUUCUUGCCAGGCAACUGGUUCUUGUCAUGUCUAACACGUUCUGGGCCCUGAGGAGUCAGAAGGGCUCCAUGCACAGAGUUAUGCCAGUGGUCAGCUUCAGGUGGCCUCCAGCAAGAAAUUCUGGGAAGUUUGCUGGGGUCAGGAUCUGGGUCCCUGGAGUUUGAAGCCAGCCUGUCCAUUUCUCUGCCAUACAGCCUCAGGUAAGUGGCCCCUUCUCUCUGGUCUUCUGAUAUUUCCAGCUAAGCUUCUGCAGAACCGGAAGGGUCAUCUUCUUACACUGUGGGUCCUGAGCCCACACGGUGCCACCUAAAUGAGUGUGGGGGUUGCGAAAAGUUCUGCAACUGUGAAAUGUUUCUGAAUAUGUAACAACCAAAACUUAAUUCAAAGUCCAACAUGUAACAAACUUGAGAAGUUGCUGCUGCACUCUUCCUAUAUCGGAAUGCAGGACUUUGCCACAGCCUUGUCCUGGACCAAAAAGAUGCCUUAUGUACCCUGCAUGCCACCUCGCCACUCAACACUGCCCAAAACACCACCAUCUGGCAGAAGGAACAGGCCUGCUGCUCAGAGGCCUGUGGAGCCCCAGGAGAAGCCAUGUCCUCUCGACUUCUGACUUCAGCUACAGAGCAUGGAAGGAGCCAGCCCCUGGGGAGUAGCUCUGAAGACUGUUUGCAAGCACCUUCGUGACCAAGUGCCCACUUGUGCCCACUCUACUCUGAAACUCUUCAAGAUUUUCUUCACCAACCUCUUUCUCCUGAGAACAGAAAACAUCAAACCAGUCAAACAUUUACUGAUAACAAGUAAGAAAAUUUACUUUAAAGCAGUGUGUUGGUAGACAUACAAUUUUACCUUUUAUUAAAGAUGAAAACUUGGGCGGGUGAUAUGGCUCAGUAGGUAAAGGAGCUUGCCACCAAGCCCAACAACCUGAGUUCAAUUCUUGAGACCCGAGUGAUGAAAGAAGAGAACAGUUCUCCCAAGUUGUCCUCUGAUCUCUGUGUCCACACAUGGCCACUUGCACACACCUGCCCACAUGCAUGCAUGUUCACAAAACAAAUUAAAAUGUGAUUAAAAAAAUAAAAGCAAAUCCGUACACAAA